CGAUACGGGACUCAUCCGAGGCCCCGUAAUCGGAAUGAGUACACUUUAAAUCCUUUAACAAGGAUCCAUUGGAGGGCAAGUCUGGUGCCAGCAGCCGCGGUAAUUCCAGCUCCAAUAGCGUAUAUUAAAGUUGUUGCGGUUAAAAAGCUCGUAGUUGAAUCUGUGUUUCACACUGUCGGUUCACCGCUCGCGGUGUUUACUGGCAUGAUGUGGGACGUCCUACCGGUGGGCUUAGCCCUUCGGGGCGGUCCAACUAAUAUCCCAUCGCGGUGCUCUUCAUUGAGUGUCGAGAUGGGCCGGUACGUUUACUUUGAACAAAUUAGAGUGCUUAAAGCAGGCUAGCCUCGCCUGAAUACUGUGUGCAUGGAAUAAUGGAAUAGGACCUCGGUUCUAUUUUGUUGGUUUUCGGAACUCCGAGGUAAUGAUUAAUAGGGACAGAUGGGGGCAUUCGUAUUGCGACGUUAGAGGUGAAAUUCUUGGAUCGUCGCAAGACGGACAGAAGCGAAAGCAUUUGCCAAAAAUGUUUUCAUUAAUCAAGAACGAAAGUUAGAGGUUCGAAGGCGAUCAGAUACCGCCCUAGUUCUAACCAUAAACGAUGCCAGCUAGCGAUCCGCCGAAGUUCCUCCGAUGACUCGACGGGCAGCUUCCGGGAAACCAAAGCUUUUGGGUUCCGGGGGAAGUAUGGUUGCAAAGCUGAAACUUAAAGGAAUUGACGGAAGGGCACCACCAGGAGUG
RNAcentral lists this ribosomal RNA (735 nucleotides) under Polistes metricus. RNAcentral's name for it is "SSU rRNA". It matches the Rfam family "Eukaryotic small subunit ribosomal RNA", at positions 477 to 1178 of the family's 1831-position model. The record is from RNAcentral. Lineage: Eukaryota; Metazoa; Arthropoda; Insecta; Hymenoptera; Vespidae.